Molecule: long non-coding RNA, 1030 nt
Filed under: Equus caballus (horse)
Lineage: Eukaryota; Metazoa; Chordata; Mammalia; Perissodactyla; Equidae
Description: lncRNA (ENSECAG00000055127.1)
Source: RNAcentral
GGCAAAAGCAGAGUGCUCCACUGAAAUGACCUGGGGACUCAACCUCAAAAGGCCAUAUCCCAAAUGUUGCUCGUGUACACUUUUGGUGAGUGUGGGAGAGGGUCAGCUGAGUACGCAUGCCACACACAGAGGGUUCUGAGACAGAGAUUCAGUUGGACCCAUCCACCCAUGGACCAUAGCUGCUAUUGCCAUGGAGAGACUUGGGCCACCAGCUGUGUGAGCUUCCCUCAGGCUGGCCUGGCCUCCAUUCUACCUGCUGCAGAGACCUCUGGAGGCUCCAGCACCCAGGGCUGUCUCAACCAGAACCAGGAGGCUGCGACUCCUCACACCUCUUCAGCCUGAGAUGAGUCAUCUUACCUUAGGCAGUGGGAUCUGGUUUCCCCUAUGGCUGCCUGGAAGCACUAAGCAAAAGAAUAUAAAUAGCAGAAAUAAAGGAGAAUUAAUAUCCUGUGUGGAAAUUUUUGACCAGGUCUGCCAUUAACAAUUGCUUUAUUAUGUAAGACUUCUAAGACCAUAUGUAUAAAUAAGUAAGCUAUGGAAGAAAUAAACCAGUUGUAAAAUUAAAAAUAAGUUCUAUCUCCUAUCUUGACAAGUAUACCUUUAUAAUGACAGAUUGAAAAAUAUGAACCAAGCUAUAUUAUUUAUAUGAAUUAACACUGGUAAAAUAUCAAAAAUGACUGAAUUUAAUAACUAUGAUACAUAUCUAGGUAUUCUGUUAAUGGACUGGUGAUGUUUUGAUGAGUAUUAAAAAUAAAAAUAUAUAUGUCUGUCAUAAAUUAGUAUAAUAGUUGUUUUUGCCUUAUUUCAGCAAAAUUGCUAAUUAAUUAUUAUAGUCAAGAUUUUCAUAUAACUUGGAUUGAACUGAUAACAGUCCUCUAAAAGAUUAAAAAAUAAAAUAUGAUUUACUCAAGUGUACAUGACUUGAGUAUAUUUCAUCAAAAAAGUAAAUUAAAUGUAAAAUAAAACUUUUUCACUUAUGUUUUUAAAAAGUUGCUUUCUUUGAAAUAACUAAUAUAAAAUGUUUUAUAUU